Molecule: transfer RNA, 96 nt
Filed under: Streptomyces spongiicola
Lineage: Bacteria; Bacillati; Actinomycetota; Actinomycetes; Kitasatosporales; Streptomycetaceae
Description: tRNA-Gly
Source: RNAcentral
GGGGGUGCGGGGAGCACGGUGCACGUCCCCUCCGGAUUCCGGCCGGGGCAGCGCGAGGCGGUCGAGCUUGCCGUUCGGCGUCAGCGGCAGUUCCUC